RNAcentral lists this ribosomal RNA (651 nucleotides) under uncultured euryarchaeote. Its description in RNAcentral is "bacterial SSU rRNA". It matches the Rfam family "Archaeal small subunit ribosomal RNA", at positions 1 to 663 of the family's 1478-position model. Lineage: Archaea; Methanobacteriati; Methanobacteriota. The record is from RNAcentral.
UUCCGGUUGAUCCUGCCGGAGGCGACCGCUAUUGGAGUUCGAUUAAGCCAUGCGAGUCGAGAGCUUUCGGAGCUCGGCAUACUGCUCAGUAACACGUGGAUAACCUGCCCUGUGCUCCGGGAUAACCUCGGGAAACUGAGAAUAAUACCGGAUAGUCCACCACGCCUGGAACGGUGGGUGGAUCAAAGGUCACGGCACAGGAUGGGUCUGCGGCGUAUCAGGUUGUAGGGGGUGUAAAGGACCCCCUAGCCAUUGACGCGUACGGGUUGUGGGAGCAAUCGCCCGGAGAUGGAUUCUGAGACACGAAUCCAGACCCUACGGGGUGCAGCAGGCGCGAAAACUUCACACUGCAGGAAACUGUGAUGAGGGAACUCCAAGUGCAUGCACAAUGUGUAUGCCUUUCCUAACUUUUAAUCGGUUAGGGAAUAAGGGCUGGGAAAGACCGGUGCCAGCCGCCGCGGUAAUACCGGCAGCUCAAGUGGUCGUCGCUUUUAUUGGGCCUAAAACGUCCGUAGCCUGUUUGGUAAAUCUGUGGGUAAAUCAAACAGCUUAACUGGUUGAAUCCUGCAGAGACCAGCAGACUAAGGAACGGGGAGAGGUGUGGGGUACUCUCCGGGUAGGGUAAAACCUGUCAUCUGGGAGGACCACAGU